GAAGAAUUGUCUUGGGCCACACAUGAA
This 27-nucleotide non-coding RNA is filed under the name Homo sapiens (human). The record is from RNAcentral. Lineage: Eukaryota; Metazoa; Chordata; Mammalia; Primates; Hominidae.